CUCUCUCUUACUCCAUGUUGAAGAAGAUCCCCAUAUCCCUGAAUACCUCAACCACACAUGUCUACCGUCUUUGUGCGGAUCUGGUACUACAAAUGAAUACCCAUUCCCAAAUUGAAGCUAGUUUCUCGAUUUCAAGCGUCGCCGUCAUCAUUGCCACCUUCAUUUGGUCUCUUGUUGCUGAAAACUUUUAAGAGACUAUGAAGAGGAACACAAUACACAAGAGGGCUUUACUUUUUCGCUCCCAUUUCUUUGGUUUUUGGUUCCAUUCUUGGAGAAUGUCCUAAGACAUAAAUGAAGCAAGGACAUGGCCACUUGAAGGCUCAAACAGAAAGCUUUUGAGGUGAUCUCGGGAGUAGAUGAGUAUGGAUGACUCUCCCCACACCAAAAUACACUCACCCCAAGCUUCAGUGAUUUGCAUUUUUGCUAAUUUUUGCUCUGGUGUCUCUACUUGUGUACAUGUAUCUUGAUUUUGCUAAUCUAGCUUGUUAUAGCUUAGUAGCAUCAUUUUUU
Long non-coding RNA from Rosa chinensis, 510 nucleotides. RefSeq lists it as uncharacterized. The transcript is spliced from 4 exons. NCBI's taxonomy places the organism in Eukaryota, Viridiplantae, Streptophyta, Magnoliopsida, Rosales, Rosaceae. The record is from RefSeq and is a predicted model, not a curated record.